CCAUCCACACAUACAUACACAUUAACACAUAUAUAUUACAGACACAAACACACAUAGUACACACACAAACAAACACACACACACACACACUCACACACAAAAACACAUACACAAACACACGUAACUGUAUAAACACAGACGCAUACGCACUCACAUACAUACAUAUUACCCACACAAACACAAACACACAUGCAUACAUGCACACACACAAACACACACACACACACACACAAACAUAGACACACACACACGCACAUAUUACAUACACACACACAAACACACAAACCCACCCACCCACACAAACACAUAUAUUACACACACACAUACAAACUUAUACCCACACACACAUAUCACCCACAUAAACACAUACACACAUCACACACACACAUCACACACAAACACACACGCACACACACACUCAUACAUACACAAACACGCAUAUUACACUAAAAUAUUCAUAAACACUCGUAGCUGUAUAAACACAGAUACACCCACACACACGCAUAUUACCCACACAAACACAGACACAUUCUCAC
RNAcentral lists this long non-coding RNA (536 nucleotides) under Vigna radiata. RNAcentral describes it as "long non-coding RNA (VRAD_LNC017675)". The record is from RNAcentral. Lineage: Eukaryota; Viridiplantae; Streptophyta; Magnoliopsida; Fabales; Fabaceae.